Molecule: ribosomal RNA, 253 nt
Filed under: uncultured bacterium
Lineage: Bacteria
Description: partial 16S ribosomal RNA
Rfam family: Bacterial small subunit ribosomal RNA
Source: RNAcentral
GACGAGUCUCACAAACGUUAUUCGGAAUUACUGGGCUUAAAGGGUGCGUAGGCGGUGGAGUAAGUCGGAUGUGAAAUACCAUAGCUUAACUAUGGAACUGCACUCGAUACUACUUUGCUAGAGUAAGACAGAGGUGAGUGGAACUGAGGGUGGAGCGGUGAAAUGCGUUGAUAUCCUCAGGAACACCGGUGGCGAAGGCGACUCACUGGGUCUUUACUGACGCUGAUGCACGAAAGCUAGGGUAGCAAACGGG